Cyprinus carpio carpio is the source of this 2763-nucleotide long non-coding RNA. NCBI's taxonomy places the organism in Eukaryota, Metazoa, Chordata, Actinopteri, Cypriniformes, Cyprinidae. The record is from Ensembl.
AUAAGUAUGAAGUGUGUGGACACACUUCAUGCUAAGAGCUCAUUCUGGCUACAGAAGGCCCUGAUCCUUUUGCUGCAAUCGUUUAAAUACCUCAGACCAAGACAAACAUCCCCCGAGAUGGAGACAGUAACUAACAAUAGGAAUUUGCAUUAACUCAGGUCCCAAGCCUGGGUGGUUUUUACAACUCAAUGGGAACAGGAGGUAAUUUACAUGGAGGACCCUGGGAAGGGGCACUCCCAUCACAGUAGGCAAAAUAUCUCUUAACUCUUAGGAUCUGUAUUAUCUUUUAAUCUACUUUUGUAAGAUUGAGACCAUUGUACCAGUUGCACUGAGACAUUUCAAAUGAUACCAGACAUGACUGUUAGUUCACUUGCAUUGACAUUUUCAUGUAAUCAUUUUUGAGCAGAUUGAGUAGAAGAAAGCAUGGGUGAAGGGAUUUAAAAUGAAACAAAUGGCCAGAAGGGAAGGAGGUCUCCUGCACCUCCACUCUGUGGGGUGUCUCGAAGAUGCCCGUGUAUGUUUGUAUUGUCUGUUUCUCAGGAGAUCAAAGUAUCUCAUGCCCGUGUAUGUUUGUAUUGUCUGUUUCUCAGGAGAUCAAAGUAUCUCAGGUUCUUUAAUCCUUACACUAUCUAUCUAUCUAUCUAUCUAUCUAUCUAUCUAUCUAUCUAUCUAUCUAUCUAUCUAUCUAUCUAUCUAUCUAUCUAUCUAUCCACAGAUCUAUUAUCCAUCCAUUCAUUCUUCUAUCUACAAUAGAAUCAUCAAUCAUCUAUUGAUCAUUCUACCUACCGAUUUAUCGUCCGUCCGUCCAUCCAUCCAUCCAUCCAUCCAUCCAUCUUUAUCUGUCUAUCGGUCUGUCUAUUUGACUGCAUUGCCUUAAAACUGAAAAAGUAUUUAUUUAUUCAUGUGAUUAUUCAGAUAAAAGAGAUGAGUAAAACAUUUACAUUUUUUUGACCAUGCAGACAACUUUUACCAACUUUUUUAUAACUUAACACAAAGAAAGUAGACACUGGCUCAUUUAAUGUUCUCUCUCACUUCAUCGUUCCGAGCUUCAUUUCCUCCUGUGAGACAGCCAUGCCCUGAGAAUAAGUGGAUGACACUCAGACGUUGUUUUCGUCUGGUAAGUUCUUCCCCUCGCUAUACAGUAUAUAAUGCCAUCCUAAAGCUUAAAGAAAUGUGAUUCACAAGACCUGAGGCACUCCAGCACAUACACAAACACAUACUCACACAUACGCACAUGGUACAAAACAAGCUCUUCGCUCCUGCGGUGCCAUUUUGACCCAGUUAUGCAGGUUAACGUUCUCUAGCGGUGUACGAGAACCCUGCCUCCUAUAGGCACUGCAACACCCACUUACAGAGCCAAGGGUGAGUGGUUUGAGUUGCACAUCAAACCCUCAGACAUUGAAAAUACUUGGUGUUUAUCAGCAGCCGAGGAUGGAUGGGAGUGGGUGGGGAGGGACAGAGGGGGGCGUUAGCGUAAGGAAAAGACACCAAGAGGGGAAAAAAUGCUGUGAAUUGAAACUUGCAAACUUUCUAAUGGAAAUGGUGUUGACCCCUCGGCGGUAUUGUCGGAGCUGAGGCAUUGUUGCAAUCAAUAUGCGCUCAGGGGAGAGCGCAUGGGGCAAGGACCUUUCGUUCCCCACCACGCCGGAAAUAAUGCGAGACGCUGAUUUGUUAUUUUCCAGACACGGAGAAAACAAGCAGACGGGUGGCAGUGCACGCAGGUGCCUCAUUUUGGGAAUACUUCAGAGAAAUGAAAUAAACAGAGUGAGGAAAGAAAUGUAUCUGCGAACGAGGGAUAAACAAUAUCAUAGAGUUAGUACCGGUCUGCUUUAGGCGGCGACUGCGUGGGCAAAUGGUGUUCAUUAGUAUUUCAUAAAUCAUUAUUGUAAUGUUACACUAAGCUCUCUAUUUUAUUUAUUUAUUUAUUUAUUUUUUUAAGCAUUAUAAUGUCCAUAACUGAAUAAUAAUGCAGUUAGUCAGCUUUAGCAUUACUUUCCUCUUUCCAUCAGUUUUUGGCCUCCAUGAGCCUGGUGUCAGAAGCUUGUUAGAAGAAUUUAAAUACAAAUUAACAAACAUUCCAUGUUCGUGAAAGACGUCUCUUAUGCUCACCAAGGCUGCAUUUAAAAAAAAAAAUACAAAAAUAAAAUUCCCGUAAAAAAUAGUAAUAUACUGAGAUUACAAUUUUCUUUUCUUUUUUUUCUAAUUCCUGUGAUAUUUCAAAGCUGCAUUUUUAAAACCCAUUACUUCAGUCUUCAGUGUGACAUGAUCCUUCAGAAAUCAUUCUAAUGCAGUGAUUUGAUGCCCAAGAAACAUUUCUAUUAUCAUAUUAUCAGAUUUUGAAACAGUUGUGCGUGCUCCUUAAUAUUUUUUGUGGAAAAUAUGAUACUUUUUUCAGGAUUGUUUGAUGAAUAGAGAGUUGAAAAAAAAAAACAACAGCAUUUAUUUGCAGUAGAAAUAGUUUGUAACAUUAUAAAUGUCUGUUCUGUCUGUUAAUCAAUUUAAUGUGUCUUUUCUGAAUAAAAUUAUUAUUUUAAUUAGUAAUAUUAAAAAUAUAUAUAUUUGUAUAUUUUGAGCAGUCAAGUCGUUUUUGGCAAAUAUACUUCUUAUCAAAUAAAAUCAUUUAUAGCACUUUCUUCUUUUACUCAGAGUCAGUAAGCCUUGGUGUAGUUAGUCAAAUUUGCUCUGAUAUGGUAGACACAGGCAAGCAUAGAUACAUACCUCAAACUAUCAUAUUCAUCCAAGCAGAAGGUAAAUGUAAUGUAA